Molecule: transfer RNA, 73 nt
Filed under: Deltaproteobacteria bacterium
Lineage: Bacteria; Pseudomonadati; Myxococcota; Myxococcia
Also listed under: 1 other name
Description: tRNA-Lys
Rfam family: tRNA
About the family: Transfer RNA (tRNA) molecules are approximately 80 nucleotides in length.
Source: RNAcentral
GAGCCGCUAGCUCAGACGGUAGAGCAUCAGACUUUUAAUCUGAGGGCCAUGGGUUCGAAUCCCAUGCGGCUCA